RNAcentral lists this transfer RNA (52 nucleotides) under Fusobacterium sp. OBRC1. RNAcentral describes it as "tRNA-Ala". It matches the Rfam family "tRNA", at positions 24 to 71 of the family's 71-position model. Rfam says of the family: Transfer RNA (tRNA) molecules are approximately 80 nucleotides in length. The record is from RNAcentral. Lineage: Bacteria; Fusobacteriati; Fusobacteriota; Fusobacteriia; Fusobacteriales; Fusobacteriaceae.
CGACGCACUUGCACUGCGUAGGUCAGCGGUUCGAUCCCGCUUAUCUCCACCA